ACUCGAGUGGCGAACGGGUGAGUAACACGUGGGUGAUCUGCCCUGCACUUCGGGAUAAGCCUGGGAACCUGGGUCUAAUACCGGAUAGGAGCCAUUUUUAGUGUGAUGGUUGGAAAGUUUUUCGGUGUAGGAUGAGCUCGCGGCCUAUCAGCUUGUUGGUGGGGUAAUGGCCUACCAAGGCGGCGACGGGUAGCCGGCCUGAGAGGGUGGACGGCCACAUUGGGACUGAGAUACGGCCCAG
This 241-nucleotide ribosomal RNA is filed under the name uncultured Actinomycetales bacterium. Its description in RNAcentral is "partial 16S ribosomal RNA". It matches the Rfam family "Bacterial small subunit ribosomal RNA", at positions 89 to 334 of the family's 1533-position model. Lineage: Bacteria; Bacillati; Actinomycetota; Actinomycetes; Actinomycetales. The record is from RNAcentral.